This 1669-nucleotide ribosomal RNA is filed under the name Salmonella enterica subsp. enterica serovar Paratyphi A. RNAcentral describes it as "bacterial SSU rRNA". It matches the Rfam family "Bacterial small subunit ribosomal RNA". The record is from RNAcentral. Lineage: Bacteria; Pseudomonadati; Pseudomonadota; Gammaproteobacteria; Enterobacterales; Enterobacteriaceae.
AACACGUAAUUCAUUACGAAGUUUAAUUCAUUGAGCAUCAAACUUUUAAAUUGAAGAGUUUGAUCAUGGCUCAGAUUGAACGCUGGCGGCAGGCCUAACACAUGCAAGUCGAACGGUAACAGGAAGCAGCUUGCUGCUUUGCUGACGAGUGGCGGACGGGUGAGUAAUGUCUGGGAAACUGCCUGAUGGAGGGGGAUAACUACUGGAAACGGUGGCUAAUACCGCAUAACGUCGCAAGACCAAAGAGGGGGACCUUCGGGCCUCUUGCCAUCAGAUGUGCCCAGAUGGGAUUAGCUUGUUGGUGAGGUAACGGCUCACCAAGGCGACGAUCCCUAGCUGGUCUGAGAGGAUGACCAGCCACACUGGAACUGAGACACGGUCCAGACUCCUACGGGAGGCAGCAGUGGGGAAUAUUGCACAAUGGGCGCAAGCCUGAUGCAGCCAUGCCGCGUGUAUGAAGAAGGCCUUCGGGUUGUAAAGUACUUUCAGCGGGGAGGAAGGUGUUGUGGUUAAUAACCGCAGCAAUUGACGUUACCCGCAGAAGAAGCACCGGCUAACUCCGUGCCAGCAGCCGCGGUAAUACGGAGGGUGCAAGCGUUAAUCGGAAUUACUGGGCGUAAAGCGCACGCAGGCGGUCUGUCAAGUCGGAUGUGAAAUCCCCGGGCUCAACCUGGGAACUGCAUUCGAAACUGGCAGGCUUGAGUCUUGUAGAGGGGGGUAGAAUUCCAGGNNNNNNNNNNNNNNNNNNNNAGAAUUCCAGGUGUAGCGGUGAAAUGCGUAGAGAUCUGGAGGAAUACCGGUGGCGAAGGCGGCCCCCUGGACAAAGACUGACGCUCAGGUGCGAAAGCGUGGGGAGCAAACAGGAUUAGAUACCCUGGUAGUCCACGCCGUAAACGAUGUCUACUUGGAGGUUGUGCCCUUGAGGCGUGGCUUCCGGAGCUAACGCGUUAAGUAGACCGCCUGGGGAGUACGGCCGCAAGGUUAAAACUCAAAUGAAUUGACGGGGGCCCGCACAAGCGGUGGAGCAUGUGGUUUAAUUCGAUGCAACGCGAAGAACCUUACCUGGUCUUGACAUCCACGGAAGUUUUCAGAGAUGAGAAUGUGCCUUCGGGAACCGUGAGACAGGUGCUGCAUGGCUGUCGUCAGCUCGUGUUGUGAAAUGUUGGGUUAAGUCCCGCAACGAGCGCAACCCUUAUCCUUUGUUGCCAGCGGUCCGGCCGGGAACUCAAAGGAGACUGCCAGUGAUAAACUGGAGGAAGGUGGGGAUGACGUCAAGUCAUCAUGGCCCUUACGACCAGGGCUACACACGUGCUACAAUGGCGCAUACAAAGAGAAGCGACCUCGCGAGAGCAAGCGGACCUCAUAAAGUGCGUCGUAGUCCGGAUUGGAGUCUGCAACUCGACUCCAUGAAGUCGGAAUCGCUAGUAAUCGUGGAUCAGAAUGCCACGGUGAAUACGUUCCCGGGCCUUGUACACACCGCCCGUCACACCAUGGGAGUGGGUUGCAAAAGAAGUAGGUAGCUUAACCUUCGGGAGGGCGCUUACCACUUUGUGAUUCAUGACUGGGGUGAAGUCGUAACAAGGUAACCGUAGGGGAACCUGCGGUUGGAUCACCUCCUUACCUUAAAGAAGCGUACUUUGCAGUGCUCACACAGAUUGUCUGAUGAAAA